CGGUUGUAUUAAGCCCACCCCUAAUUGUGUCCUAGUAACGAGGGAAAAAAGAAGAAAGAUAAGCAGUCGUUCCAUAUUCGACGUUAAAUUGUUUACCGCAAUCUACGGUCCCCGCGUAUCCAAACCGAUAAAUGUCUACCAAGCCGUUUCAUCUUAGACCGUCCAUUCAUUCCACUACCUCAAUAAAUUACAUUUAUCGGGCUUCUCAUUUCCAUGUCCUCAUCUCUACUGUUCAUUUCUCUGGCCAUCUCUGUUUUAUCCAGAUCCUCUUAAUCUCUUCUCUUUUCCGGAUUUCAUAUUCAGAUUUGAGGAGAUCGUUUUCCGAUCUAUCAUUUGGUUAUGGAUUCGAAUUGUUCCUUUGGUAUGCUCGUUCAUCGAGAUCGACCAGAGUAACGAUGUUUCUGUUGUUCGAUCUUCGUCCCCGUUGCCGGUGGCGAAGCAAAGAUUCCAUAUUUAAGUCGGCUGGAUCUCAUGCGCUUGGUAGAGGAUCGAGGAAGUCUGUUUCUUGAUGAGGAACAAUAAAGGUUUCUUCGGAUUUACGGUGAUUCCGUUGUUUUCGGCGAUGCUAUUUGGAUCGUUGCACGCUUUGACUGUCGAGAAAUGGACAUCAGCAGCGUUGAUGAUGAUUGCCAUAACUUAAUUUAUUGUCUAUAUGGACUAUAGGAUGCGGAUUAUAGGGAUGCAUCUGUACUUGCAGAUCAAAGGUAAAAUUGUGAGUAUCAGUGAGGUCUUGUUGUUGUUAAUUCGACCUUUGCCAUGAUGGGUGCGCUCACAUGGCAGGUCAAGUACCUAAUAAAAAUUCUACUUUUUGUGUUGGAGAGGAGAUGGUACGGGGAUUUUUGCCCGGCUCUCCUCUCUCUUUGUCUUGUCUUCUCCCCCUCACACCUUUACUCCCUUUCUCUGGAUCGGUUCCAAACUUCAUGGCAAACUGUUGUUUACGUGUCCGAAAUACUAGUAUGAGAGGAGACAAUUAGCUCGUGCAUUCAAUUAACACGACGACAGCCAAGCAAAUGGUUAUUGGUUCAACUGCAGCACUCCCUUAGAGGUACAAUUCGAAAUUGCCUUUUACAUAGGCGUUAGCCAUUUGUGUCUGACGCAACGCUCUUCUAAAGGUACAAUUCCAAUUCUAUUCAUUAAAAUUACAUUUGUGCUUGGCCUAAUAGCAGUCAGUUUUCCAGAUUAAUUAGCUCACGGAAACGUCCCAGUCUUGAUACAUAAGAUAACAUCUCAAGUUCCUGUUUUCAAAUGUAAUGUUAGAGUUCGAUUCUUAGUUUAACUAAUCUUAUAAAUAGAUUAUCACUUCUGUUAAACCGUCUCAAUCAAACUUUAAAACUUGACGUUUUAUUAUUCUGGUUAGACAUACCAAUCGGAUCAUUUGCAGUUUUGGCUAGUAUGAAUAUUUCAUUCAUUUAGUUACUCUUGUUCACCCAUUUUAGUCAUGUAUUUGUAGAGUCGCAUGAAUAUCUCAUUCAGGACAUUGUAUAUUGUUUUGGGAGUACUUUGUUAUCAUUUUUCCAGGAUUUGAUUUUCAAAAGUUAGAUUUAGCCUGAUUUAUGACUGAUUGGACACAAGGUCUCUGUUACAACAAUGUUGAAAUCUUAUUUCUGUGGUGUGAUGAAUGAUUUGACCCAGUAAUGAAAGCUUUGCUUGCCUUGAAAAUUUCUCCGGUUGCUUCUCCAUGACCUGCCAAAUUUAAACCAUUGCAACUGACAUGGUCUUACAUCAAAAGUAGAGAGGCUGACUAUUGGCUCUAUCCUGAGGAGUCCAAAACCUAAAUGUGUAUUUCUUGACUCAAAAGAUCGAAAUAAGUAAAAAAAAUUAAGUGAACAAACUAUAUAAAAUGCGGUUUUAAAGCGCGCUUUACCUUAACAUCUUAAAUUUUUUUUAAAACUUAUUUCGGUUUUUUGAGUCCAAAAAUACCACAUUUAGGUUUUGUUCUCCUAUCCUGAGAACAUAUUCUACUUUCCUUUUCCUGGUUUACCUUUUUGGCGGGGGAUUUAUCACUACUUUUGGUUGGAUAACCAGCAAACAUCUGGUGUAGAGGUUGUUUAUCCUGUAGACAGCUGUUCUUUGAUGGAUCUAGUGAAAUAUGUUUUCGACUAUGAAGUUUUCUUCACCAUUAUAGCGCUUGAAGAAGCAACAAUUUUCGAAGUUUGUCCUGUAGAUAUUGCAUCUUCCUGAAAGUGCUUACGCUCCUGGUUACAUGAAAAUUAAUUGCUGAUUACAGUUUUUUAUUAUUUGCUCUGGUCAAGUGUGUAAACCUGCGUAUCGGUUCUCGACUGGUUUAUAUUGAUUUAUCUCUUGUCAAAGAAAUGGUUAACAGUAAUGGCGAGCAACCACUGUCUGCAAUUACACUUCGUGGUUUUGCUAGUAAGCUUUGCUAGUUUUGAUUAAAAUAUAAUGGGACUAUUUUGUUAGAUAGUACUUAUUCCUUUUUGUAUGACGGGUGAAGUUCCUCACGAGCAA
Molecule: long non-coding RNA, 2466 nt
Organism: Nicotiana attenuata
Lineage: Eukaryota; Viridiplantae; Streptophyta; Magnoliopsida; Solanales; Solanaceae
Exons: 2
Source: RefSeq, a predicted model, not a curated record